AUAUAGCACGGAAUCUAGAAGUUGGGAAAGAUUGUUAUCAAGUGUUAAUAAGAAUUAGUGUUGGGAUCUGGAAUCUUAGUGGGGUGCCUGAGGCCUGGCUCCCUACUGUAAGGCCAGAUCAAUAGCACAGCUGGCCCUGAAUGUAUUUCCGCUGCUGUCCCCAGUUCUGGCAGCUGCAUGCAGGGGGGCCGGCCCACAGGCGGGUGCCAAAGAAGAGGGAGGCACAUGCCCUCUGAGCACAACCUUGGAUCUGAAG
Molecule: small nucleolar RNA, 256 nt
Organism: Echinops telfairi (small Madagascar hedgehog)
Lineage: Eukaryota; Metazoa; Chordata; Mammalia; Afrosoricida; Tenrecidae
Source: Ensembl